UACGUAGGGGGCAAGCGUUAUCCGGAUUUACUGGGUGUAAAGGGAGCGUAGACGGCCAGACAAGUCUGAAGUGAAAAUCCAGCGCUUAACGUUGGAAGUGCUUUGGAAACUGCCGGGCUGGAGUGCAGGAGGGGCAGGCGGAAUUCCUAGUGUAGCGGUGAAAUGCGUAGAUAUUAGGAGGAACACCAGUGGCGAAGGCGGCUUACUGGACGGCAACUGACGCUGAGGCUCGAAAGCGUGGGGAGCAAACAGG
This 253-nucleotide ribosomal RNA is filed under the name uncultured bacterium. RNAcentral's name for it is "partial 16S ribosomal RNA". It matches the Rfam family "Bacterial small subunit ribosomal RNA", at positions 524 to 776 of the family's 1533-position model. The record is from RNAcentral.